Molecule: ribosomal RNA, 253 nt
Filed under: uncultured bacterium
Lineage: Bacteria
Description: partial 16S ribosomal RNA
Rfam family: Bacterial small subunit ribosomal RNA
Source: RNAcentral
UACGGGGGGGGCAAGCGUUGUUCGGAAUUACUGGGCGUAAAGGGCUCGUAGGCGGCCAACUAAGUCAGACGUGAAAUCCCUCGGCUUAACCGGGGAACUGCAUCUGAUACUGGAUGGCUUGAGUUCGGGAGAGGGAUGCGGAAUUCCAGGUGUAGCGGUGAAAUGCGUAGAUAUCUGGAGGAACACCGGUGGCGAAGGCGGCAUCCUGGACCGACACUGACGCUGAGGAGCGAAAGCCAGGGGAGCGAAUGGG